GGACCCCUCCCUGGACAGAGUGGCCCAUAUAAGGGGUCCCUUUGUCCCGUCGGUUUCUCUGCACACAGAAGCCGUCCAGUCGCUGCGUCCCGAAUUCGCCUUCUGCUUUGGUCCGAACCAUUAUUUGCUAUCAUGCAGGUGCAACACAGGGUCCUAGCGCUCGCAGGUGCGGUGGUCCUACUCCUGGCCAUUGUGGCGGCUGAUCGUAAGUCACACACCUAAAUAGAAGGAAGGAAGGGGAGCGGGGCCAAAAUUGGGGGGUCCUGAGCUAGUGAAAGAGGGGAGCUGAGCAUCACUAGUUGCAAUGGAAAGAAGCCA
This 318-nucleotide long non-coding RNA is filed under the name Anolis carolinensis (green anole). RNAcentral describes it as "lncRNA (ENSACAG00000041510.1)". Lineage: Eukaryota; Metazoa; Chordata; Lepidosauria; Squamata; Anolidae. The record is from RNAcentral.